RNAcentral lists this ribosomal RNA (427 nucleotides) under uncultured bacterium. Its description in RNAcentral is "partial 16S ribosomal RNA". It matches the Rfam family "Bacterial small subunit ribosomal RNA", at positions 355 to 774 of the family's 1533-position model. The record is from RNAcentral.
UGGGGAAUUUUGGACAAUGGGCGCAAGCCUGAUCCAGCCAUGCCGCGUGUCUGAAGAAGGCCUUCGGGUUGUAAAGGACUUUUGUCAGGGAAGAAAAGGGCGGGGUUAAUACCCCUGUCUGAUGACGGUACCUGAAGAAUAAGCACCGGCUAACUACGUGCCAGCAGCCGCGGUAAUACGUAGGGUGCGAGCGUUAAUCGGAAUUACUGGGCGUAAAGCGGGCGCAGACGGUUACUUAAGCAGGAUGUGAAAUCCCCGGGCUCAACCUGGGAACUGCGUUCUGAACUGGGUGACUAGAGUGUGUAAGAGGGAGGUAGAAUUCCACGUGGAGCAGUGAAAUGCGUAGAGAUGUGGAGGAAUACCGAUGGCGAAGGCAGCCUCCUGGGAUAACACUGACGUUCAUGCCCGAAAGCGUGGGUAGCAAACA